GCGAUUUCAAUAUUCAAACCAGCACGAAGAACUUUUCCAGAUUGGAUCAAUUGGGGUACAACUCUCAACACAGUUGAAGAAGGGAUUGCAAAUCCAACACCUGCUGAUGUCCCUGUCUGAGUAAAUAUUGCAGUGUUGAUCCCAAUCAAGUUUCCUUUUGAAUCUAACAAAGGACCUCCGCUGUUGCCAGGGUUGAUGGCUGCAUCUGUUUGUAUUCCUCCACCAAUGGUCACUCCAGUUUGACUAUAUAUAUCUCGAUUAAGUCCACU
Molecule: unclassified non-coding RNA, 269 nt
Filed under: Hevea brasiliensis (rubber tree)
Lineage: Eukaryota; Viridiplantae; Streptophyta; Magnoliopsida; Malpighiales; Euphorbiaceae
Source: RNAcentral